AUUUAUAUAGUUUAAAAAAAACAUUAUAUUUUCAAUAUAAAAUUAAUUUAAUAAUUUAUAAAUU
This 64-nucleotide transfer RNA is filed under the name Lasioglossum morio. RNAcentral's name for it is "tRNA-Glu". The record is from RNAcentral. Lineage: Eukaryota; Metazoa; Arthropoda; Insecta; Hymenoptera; Halictidae.